Suricata suricatta (meerkat) is the source of this 3010-nucleotide RNA transcript. It is a transcript of the gene named skin secretory protein xP2-like, with no coding region annotated. The transcript is spliced from 3 exons. The record is from RefSeq and is a predicted model, not a curated record. Lineage: Eukaryota; Metazoa; Chordata; Mammalia; Carnivora; Herpestidae.
GAAAACACUGAGCUUGGAAGCUGCUGCUGGCCCAGAGGAAGGCGCCUCCUCCCAGGGCCCGCCCGGCCCCCACUCACCGAACCCCCCUGGCCAGCGGGGCCUCUCUGCCCCCCGCAGCCGUCAUCACCACCGCACCGAGGGCCAGCGCACUUGAGGGGACCCGCAAGUCACCAGACCCUCUGGGCCUCGGUUUCCCACAAGCAAAAUGAGGUUCUGGGAAAUUCCACCCCAUGUGAGUCCUGCCCCAGUGGAGAGGGAGCCCCCUGAGGGCAGGCCCGAGUCUCGGUGGCCCUGAAGUGUGGCACCACGGGACCCCGAACAGAGGAGUCACACGGUGAGGCGGCGGGAGGCGUGGGCCUGGGUGUGGACAUGGUGGGGGGGGGCGUGGGCCUGGGUGUGAGGCUCUCCCCCCAGGUUCCUGAAGGACAGACUCACGUACUCCGCCCACAGGUGAGUUUCCUGCUUUGUCCCCAUGGUGCUGGCGGGACCAUGUCCCCCCACGAAGCAGCGACCCACCGCUGUCCAGCAGAGGCCUGUGCCUUCCUGGCAGCAGGGGGGGCCGGCCUGACCAGCAUGCUCAGCAGAGCCACCAGGGUAAGGGAGGGGCCCCCAGGAAAGGACCAGGACCCAGAGAGGGGUGGCCAGUGAGGAAAGGGCACAGCAGGGGGCAGGCUGGAAGCAGACGAGUUUUGGGCAGCACCUGACGCCAGGGCGGUGACGGGGUGUGGCCAGUCUCCACGGGGCACCCGAGAGACACAUCGUAGGCCACAGGGGGUUAGGCGGGCCGUCCUGCCCAAGAGGAGGGCGCUCCGGGAGGUCUUCACAGGUGCCGUAGGUCAUACGCAGUCCGCCCUGGGGGGCGGCCGUGCUCUUGCUUUCCAUCCGCCCUACACCCUCGACGGCCUCCACACCAAGGACGGUGGGAAGUCAGAUCUCACCCUACCUGCAAGCGGGCACAGGUGCUGCCGUGGGCCGGGGAAGGUGGCGGAAGGAGGAGACUGAGGGCUCACACACGAGCUAGAGGACCUCUCGAGGGCACCCCCAGUCACACUGCUCCCCAAGCCCUUUCCCGCAGGGGACGUGGAGGGCCAGGCUGCACCUGCAUGGCCGCUUACAACACCCAUUACAGGCCACGACCGGGCGCUCUGUCCUCCAGGGAGACACAGCCUCUCACCACCAGACCUCCCUGGGGGCAGAGCCGUCAGUGCGGGGACACAGGGGCCUACAAGAGUUAGGAAAAUAGCCCGAAGGCACAGCCACGAGGAGCUGGUUAAGUAAAUUAAAUCAUGCCCGUGCAAUGGAUUAUUGUUCAAACGUGGCCAUUAAAAAAUAGGUUGUGGAAGUACAUUUAAUAGCCCAGAAAUGCCAUCGAAAGGAACUUUGAAGCAAGAAACUAGGUUACGAGUUUCUACAGAGGACGCCCACAUCGGAAGGGGAAAGCUGUACCUACAAGCAUAGGAAACAAAACGGUGAACAAGUAAAUGUCUUUAAAGACAGAAGCUGGGUUUCUCGUCCAGACGGAGCCCCUGAGCCCCCAGGACAUGGGUUGGCCACCCCCCUGCCCGCACCCCCCCCCAUGUCUGCCCCUUCAUAGCUGCACGUCCUGGACGGAGACUGGACAGAGGAGGUGACGACGGGGUCAGUCCUGCCGUGACCUUUCGGAAAGCCCAGUGCUGCCCUGGCUGCCACGGGGUCUGGGGAACCAGGGCACAGCGGUGCUCUCCUCGGAAUCACAGGCCCCACGGGCCCAGGGCCCCCGAGGAAAGGACGCCUCUCCCUGCUGUGGCACAGCCCACCCCCCACAUUCUGGGAGAAUGGGCACAGAAAUCCAUCUUCCUUCCACUCCCAACAGCCCCUCAUCCAACCGGCACCAAUGGCUUCAGCCAACUGCAGACCCACAGGCCCAGAAUUUAGAAGAAAAUGUCUGAGGACAGGAGGGGUCUCACGAGAACUUUUCUGGGGAACCCCAGGAUAUUCCCAGGAGGUGGAGACACCACCGAGAACUUGACUUAGAGCUGCCACGUCACUUCUGUGAGAUGCUGGGCGUAAGGGGGGGGCGCUGCGGACGCCCCGUCCCGGCCCCACUCCUGCCCUGUCGGGCCGUCUCGUCCCUUCCUGCUCUCCUGGAUUCAGACCACCAGCAGCUCCAGGAGACGCCGGGCCCGGCCUGCCGCCCCCCCGACGCUGGCGCUCCUUCAGCCCAGCCCUGUCCUGCAGGUCCCGGCCAGACUAAUCCGAAACGGGACGUCUUGCUGUCAUGUUGUUUAUCUCCUCAAGCCUCCAGAAGGUCCCUACUUCGUGCCGUGACCAACGCUUCCUUUCUGCAGGCCGGGUAGGAAGAGCGCGAAGUGAGGCCCUGGUUCCUGAGGAGAGGACCGCGUGCUUGCCCCACAGCUGCAGAAAGAAGCAACCGUUUAAGUCAGGUCAACAAACAAGACUGGGAACUACACAAGCCCGGUCUUCUGGGCCCUUCUCUUCCUGGGAGGGGAGCGGAAAGGGAGCAAACGCGGAGCCGCCUCCCUGCUGGCCUGGGGGUGGCGGCCUCGGGACACCUGCCAAGGGGGGUAUGCAGGCCAGCGCAGGGCUCCGCAGAGAGGAGGCGGCACCAGCUCCGGAAGCCGCUCACCCAGCGCCCGCCCCGUGCAGGAGGGCGUCCCGCGCCAGGCCGGCUUCUGCCUCUGCCGUGCUUCGUGACGGCCCAUGCAGGACUCAGGGUGAGACGGCCCCGCAGGGUGCAAGCCCCCUCCCGGGACGAGGACCCAGCCAGAGGGCUGCGGACCCGAGAGCAGGGGCCCCGGGCCCCCAGGGCACGGCCCAAGGUGAGGUGACAGGGCCUCCCCCAUGCGCCUUUAAGAGGAAUGAAUAGAUUAAGUGGCUUCUUAGAUGUCCAACAUGUGGCAGAAUUUUAACAGUAAAAGAGGUCUCUGUGUACAAGUUAAGUUCUUGAAAAUCCCUCGUGUGUUUUAUGUCAUCCUCAAACUUGCAGAAUCCUCGAGUCCAGUGUAGCUCA